GAUGAACGCUGGCGGCGUGCCUAAUACAUGCAAGUCGAGCGAACAGACGAGGAGCUUGCUCCUCUGACGUUAGCGGCGGACGGGUGAGUAACACGUGGAUAACCUACCUAUAAGACUGGGAUAACUUCGGGAAACCGGAGCUAAUACCGGAUAAUAUAUUGAACCGCAUGGUUCAAUAGUGAAAGACGGUUUUGCUGUCACUUAUAGAUGGAUCCGCGCCGCAUUAGCUAGUUGGUAAGGUAACGGCUUACCAAGGCAACGAUGCGUAGCCGACCUGAGAGGGUGAUCGGCCACAUUGGAACUGAGACACGGUCCAGACUCCUGCGGGAGGCAGCAGUAUGGAAUCUUCCGCAAUGGGCGAAAGCCUGACGGAGCAACGCCGCGUGAGUGAUGAAGGUCUUCGGAUCGUAAAACUCUGUUAUUAGGUAAGAACAAAUGUGUAAGUAACUAUGCACGUCUUGACGGUACCUAAUCAGAAAGCCCCGGCUAACUACGUG
This 497-nucleotide ribosomal RNA is filed under the name uncultured bacterium. RNAcentral's name for it is "partial 16S ribosomal RNA". It matches the Rfam family "Bacterial small subunit ribosomal RNA", at positions 28 to 507 of the family's 1533-position model. The record is from RNAcentral.